GACGAACGCUGGCGGCGUGCUUAACACAUGCAAGUCGAACGAUGAAGCCCAGCUUGCUGGGUGGAUUAGUGGCGAACGGGUGAGUAACACGUGAGCAACGUGCCCGAGACUCUGGAAUAACUACCGUAAACGGUGGCUAAUACUGGAUAUGUGCAGGGAGGCAUCUCCUCUGGUUGGAAAGAUUUUUCGGUUUCGGAUCGGCUCACGGCCUAUCAGCUUGUUGGUGGGGUAUUGGCCUACCAAGGCGACGACGGGUAGCCGGCCUGAGAGGGUGACCGGCCACACUGGGACUGAGACACGGCCCAGACUCCUACGGGAGGCAGCAGUGGGGAAUAUUGCACAAUGGGCGCAAGCCUGAUGCAGCAACGCCGCGUGAGGGAUGACGGCCUUCGGGUUGUAAACCUCUUUUAGUAGGGAAGAAGCGCAAGUGACGGUACCUGCAGAAAAAGCACCGGCUAACUACGUG
Molecule: ribosomal RNA, 466 nt
Filed under: uncultured bacterium
Lineage: Bacteria
Description: partial 16S ribosomal RNA
Rfam family: Bacterial small subunit ribosomal RNA
Source: RNAcentral